UGCUAUGACAGGUUAUUCCCAAAGUGCAA
RNAcentral lists this non-coding RNA (29 nucleotides) under Mus musculus (house mouse). Lineage: Eukaryota; Metazoa; Chordata; Mammalia; Rodentia; Muridae. The record is from RNAcentral.